Molecule: unclassified non-coding RNA, 254 nt
Filed under: Hevea brasiliensis (rubber tree)
Lineage: Eukaryota; Viridiplantae; Streptophyta; Magnoliopsida; Malpighiales; Euphorbiaceae
Source: RNAcentral
CCUAGGUCUGGCUGGUGAAGGUGGGUAAGAAAGCCGUUUCUUAACUGGCCCCAAAGUCCCUUUUUCCUUUUCUGGUGUACCAUUUUUUUCUUCCCCCAGUGGACUCUGCACCCUGGACUUUGCUCUUGCAGAUUCAGUAGGUACCAGUUGAAGAGAUACCAAGGCUCUCAUCAUCCUGCACAGAUGAUCCUGCAAUGCUAUGCCUUCUAUAUCGAUCUGAAUGCAUGCUGGCCAUGCUUCUGAAGUCAUCAUCA